Long non-coding RNA from Sarcophilus harrisii (Tasmanian devil), 3326 nucleotides. RefSeq lists it as uncharacterized. Lineage: Eukaryota; Metazoa; Chordata; Mammalia; Dasyuromorphia; Dasyuridae. The record is from RefSeq and is a predicted model, not a curated record. The transcript has 3 exons.
UUUUUAUUUGAACAAUUGUAGACUUUUUUUUAUUUCUUUCCACACAGGAAGCAUUCAUAUAUGGGUUGAAAGCACAGGUUUUGUUGUUGUUGUUUCAAUUUACAGUUUUGUGAGUGCAAGGGAAAAAAAGAAUUAUUUACUUUGUAGACAAGAGGGCAGAUAGGAAACUAUUACUAUUUAAAAAUACAUGUAACUUAAUUAUAAGGGAGUUAUUCUGCAUCUCUAUGAAGGCAGAACAUGAAAAAAUAUUCCUAAAUUGUUACUGAAGGGACCUUUCUUUCUACUGUUAACUCGCGACUCUCCUUUGUGAUACGUAACUAGCAGUGAGAUCUUUGAGUCAAAUGAACAUAUAUUUUAUUGAAAUCAAAACAUUUUUUGUUAACAUUUAUUCCAAAUUGGCUUUCCAAAUGGCUGGACUAAUUCACAGCUCAUUAAUAGUAUAUAUGUAUUUCAGCAUUCUUUAGAAGCUAUUCUAAUAAUGGAGAGAAAACAUACAAUCAGAUAUUAUGCAAGGAAAAAUGUUUUCCAUUUAUCUCCAGAAGCAAAGGGUAGGCUUUCUUUAGUUGGGGGAUGGAUGGAGACAUGGGUGUAUUGGUCUACAACAUGUUUUUAAAUUUAAUUGGCAGUUAUUAACAUAUCCUCUAUCAUUUUCUUAAAUUUAGACAAUCAACAAAACAAUAAAUUAAGCCCUGCUUUGUAGCCUUUGCCAAUUUCUAAGAUGUAAAUGCUCACAUUAAAAAUUUAACAAUUGACUCUUGGGAAUCAGUUAGAGUUGGCUUUAGCACAUCCUUGCAUGGAGGUCACUGGAAAUAUUCUCCAAGAGGAGAGCUUGGCUAGGAUGAUGGAUGUUCAUUUCUGUACUUUUCCACCUAGAGUCAGGACCCCUGCAAAUUAAGCUUUCCAACACUCUCCAGUGAGAUAUGUACUUCAUAAGAUGUUGAUAUCCCUGGGAUGGGUCCAGUUGGAAGGGAGGGAAAAAUUAGAGAGAAACAAUAAAUGUUAUUUUUUUUAUUUAUGGAUUUUCAGUAUACAGAACUAUUGGAUAUGUUAUAUUUUGAGAACUAGAGACAAACUAUGCUUACUGGAAAGCACCUUAGAUCAAAUGAGGCAGUAUUUUAAAAAGUUCUAUAUAAAAAUCAGUUUAUUAUCAUUAUUAUUGUUAUUUUAGAGCUCCAAAGGCCCUAAAAUAUCAAAUGUCAGAACAGAGAGGGGGCCUUAGACACAGAACACCAGUCUUGAAAGGGGCCUUAUAGAAUAUAAAAACUGAGAUGUUUGACACAACCAAGAACAUUAUAGCAAAGAGAAGUAUGAGAAUACAGAAUGUCAGAGAUGGGAAAGGUCUUAGGAAAUAGAAUAUCAGAACUUGGAUGGAUUUUUGGAGGCUUCCUUUUUAUUUUAUUUUACAGAUUCCUAUUUAUUUUAUAGAUUGAGAAAACAAGGCUCAGAGAACUUGAUCCAAUGGCUGUUAAUCCCAAUGAAAGCUCCCUUUAAGUAUAAGGUAGAUUUCUACUGGGCUCUUAUAGUUCUGAAAUUGUGCAUCUUUAGGGUUUAUAUGUCUCAUCCCGUAAUCCAGAUGCUACCAUCAGUCACUUAUAUUUUGGAGAUCCCAUCACAUAUAGCAAAUCUCAGGUUUAAAAGAUACUCUAAACAAAAGAUAGAAAUCGGUCAUGGAACAUCUUCUGUGAGGAUUAGCAAGAAUGAUAUUUUGGCUGAAACAUAGAAUAUAUGCAGGUGAGUGAUGAGUAAUGAGUCUAUAAAGGAAGAUUUAGACCAGGUUGUAAAAUAAUGUUCAAAGCCAGAUAAUAGUUUAUUUAUCAGUCAAUUAACAAACAUUUAUUAAGUGUGAUGUGAAGCACUGAAGAUAAAAAGAAAGAUUAAAAACACUCUGCUUGCCUUCAGGGAACUUACAGUUUAAUGGAAGAGACAAUGUGUACAUAACUUUGUGGGUACACUGUAUAAAUGGAAGGUAAUAUCAGGAUGAAAGGAAUAAGGAGUGAAUGGGGAGAGAGAUCAGGAAGAACCUCUUACAGAAAGUAGAAUUUGAGUUAAGUCUUAAAGGAAGCCAGGCAAGCUUGGACUUGAGACAUCAGUAAACAAGUUUUUAUCAAGCACCUACUAUGUACCAGGCGCUGCUAAUCAUGGAGGAUAAAAAGAAAGUCAAAAGGCAGAACCUGUUUUCAAGCAGCUCAGCUUAACUGGGGAAAUGACAUGCAAAAAACUACGGAAAAAUACACUAUAUAUAGGAGAAAUUGGAAAUAAUUAGUGGACAGAUAUUAGUAUUAGUUGAUCAGGAAAAGGUUUUAUGCAAAAGGUGAGAGUUUAUCUGGAACUUGAAAGAAUUGAGAGAAUCCAGGAGGCAGAGCAGAGAAUUCUAGGCAGGGGGCAAUCAAGUCAAAGACAGCAAUGAGAAAUGUGUCAUGGGAGAGAAUCAAUAGUUAAGUCAAUAUAGCUGGACUUGUGGAACCAAGUAAAGUUUAAGAAGACCAGGAAGGUAGGAGGAAGCCAUCUUAUACUUUAAAUGUCAAUCAGAGGACUUUUUAUUUAAUCUUGAAGAUAAUAGGAAGCCACUGGAGUUUAUUGAUUAGGAUGCAAUCCAAUCAAUCAGUCAACUAGUUCAUUGGAAGCUACUAUUCAUUGCACAUUUAUUACAUGCAGGGCACAGAGCUCCAUCUUCAGUGUUCAGGAGACAAAGUUUAUAUCAAGGAAGUAGCAUAGGAUUGAGAGCUGGCAGGACAUUAGAGGCAAUUAGUCAGAUGCCUUCAUUAAUAGAGGAAAAGAUUGAGAUCCAGAGAGGUGAUGACUUGUUUGAAAUCACACAAAUUGCAAGCAUUGGGCUCAGGACUAACCAACCAACCAAGAUAACCAAGUUAUCUUUCCCAAAACAAUGUUUUUAUCCAGUAUGCUAUGCUGCCCUUCUCUAUUUAUCUAUGUAAAAAUUUAUGUAAUUAUCUAUGUAAUCAUUUCCCUUUACCAUAGCCCUUUGAGGUUUUCAAAGCAUUUUCCUAUGGCAAUACUUUGCAAUGAAGGUAUUAUCAUACAACAUGUACUGAAAGUAUCAGUAUUUCAUAGGUGAGGAAAAAGUGACCUGGAAAAAGUUAAUUUACUUGCCCAGGGAAAGACAAAUAAAUGGUACAUCUCCAAGUUGGGAUUUGAAUCAGUGUCUUUUGCCUCCAAGUUUAGCAUCUUUCUACUAAUCCAUGGUUUGUAUGACAUUUAUUAUGAAAACAUGAUUCAUCUCUCUGUCCAUCUGUCCGUCCCUGCAUGCAUCCUUUUAUAUCUCUAUUCACUCAUAUUUUUAACUAUUGAGCCAUCCAUCUUUCUUUCUC